GAACAAAUCAUAUUAGAUUGUUGGCUUGGGGAUGUGCACACUUGCAUUUAAUAUCUUUUUGUCUUUAAUUCAGAUUAUUUCGUCUGAGGAUGGGAGGAAGAAAGAAUGAUGUUAGCCUACAGCUUCUCUGUGAUGGUGAUGGAAAUUCAGAAAGAACGAGUCUGCUGCUGCUGCGGUGUUUGUGUUUGAUCCAGCCGGCAUGGCUGCACAUCACACUUGUGAGGAGACCAUGAGGGGCCCAAUUUUAUUUGGAGGCACUUCAGAGAUGCAUCCCAAGACUAGGAGAGACUGUUCUGUGGAAGGGGGACGCCAGUAGACCACGCUGAUUGUACUGACUAAACAAACUCCAUGGGAAGGAUAGAAAAAGUUACUCUGAGACAGGAUUCCGAUAUGUUUUGAAAGAGAAGAAGGUGUUUAGAGGAUCUGAGGGAAGAGGAUAUUCCAAAGGAGAAGCAACCUGUUUUGAGCAUCUGCUGCGCUGUACUCACCAUUGGGAAG
Non-coding RNA from Vicugna pacos (alpaca), 498 nucleotides. The record is from RefSeq and is a predicted model, not a curated record. NCBI's taxonomy places the organism in Eukaryota, Metazoa, Chordata, Mammalia, Artiodactyla, Camelidae.